GAUGAACGCUGGCGGCGUGCCUAAUACAUGCAAGUCGAGCAAACAGACGAGGAGCUUGCUCCUCUGACGUUAGCGGCGGACGGGUGAGUAACACGUGGAUAACCUACCUAUAAGACUGGGAUAACUUCGGGAAACCGGAGCUAAUACCGGAUAAUAUAUUGAACCGCAUGGUUCAAUAGUGAAAGACGGUUUUGCUGUCACUUAUAGAUGGAUCCGCGCCGCAUUAGCUAGUUGGUAAGGUAACGGCUUACCAAGGCAACGAUGCGUAGCCGACCUGAGAGGGUGAUCGGCCACACUGGAACUGAGACACGGUCCAGACUCCUACGGGAGGCAGCAGUAGGGAAUCUUCCGCAAAGGGCGAAAGCCUGACGGAGCAACGCCGCGUGAGUGAUGAAGGUCUUCGGAUCGUAAAACUCUGUUAUUAGGGAAGAACAAAUGUGUAAGUAACUAUGCACGUCUUGACGGUACCUAAUCAGAAAGCCACGGCUAACUACGUG
RNAcentral lists this ribosomal RNA (497 nucleotides) under uncultured bacterium. RNAcentral describes it as "partial 16S ribosomal RNA". It matches the Rfam family "Bacterial small subunit ribosomal RNA", at positions 28 to 507 of the family's 1533-position model. The record is from RNAcentral.